Molecule: non-coding RNA, 115 nt
Organism: Triticum aestivum (bread wheat)
Lineage: Eukaryota; Viridiplantae; Streptophyta; Magnoliopsida; Poales; Poaceae
Source: Rfam
CAUGUACUCCCUCCGUUCGGAAUUACUUGUCGUAGAAAUGGAUGCAUCUAGAUAUAUUUUAGUUCCAGAUACAUCCAUUUCUGAGACAAGUAAUUCCGACCGGAGGGAGUACAUG